CCUACGGGAGGCAGCAGUGAGGAAUAUUGGACAAUGGAUGGAAAUCUGAUCCAGCCAUGCCGCGUGCAGGAAGACUGCCCUAUGGGUUGUAAACUGCUUUUGUAUGGGAGCAAUAAGCCCUUCGUGAAGGGUGAUGAGAGUACCAUACGAAUAAGCAUCGGCUAACUCCGUGCCAGCAGCCGCGGUAAUACGGAGGAUGCAAGCGUUAUCCGGAUUUAUUGGGUUUAAAGGGUGCGUAGGCGGUUGGAUAAGUCAGCGGUGAAAGUUUUCUGCUUAACAGGAAAAAUGCCGUUGAUACUGUCUGGCUAGAAUAUGGUUGCUGUGAGUGGAAUGUGUGGUGUAGCGGUGAAAUGCUUAGAUAUCACACAGAAUAUCGAUUGCGAAGGCAGCUCACAAAGCCAUUAUUGACGCUGAGGCACGAAAGUGUGGGGAUCAAACAGGAUUAGAUACCCUGGUAGUCCACACUGUAAACGAUGAUAACUCGCUGUCGGCGAUACACAGUCGGUGGCCAAGCGAAAGCGAUAAGUUAUCCACCUGGGGAGUACGACCGCAAGGUUGAAACUCAAAGGAAUUGACGG
RNAcentral lists this ribosomal RNA (578 nucleotides) under uncultured Bacteroidota bacterium. RNAcentral describes it as "bacterial SSU rRNA". It matches the Rfam family "Bacterial small subunit ribosomal RNA", at positions 338 to 916 of the family's 1533-position model. The record is from RNAcentral. Lineage: Bacteria; Pseudomonadati; Bacteroidota.